AAGUCGUAACAAGGUUUCCGUAGGUGAACCUGCGGAAGGAUCAUUAACACGCUUUAUUAUCCAAUAAAUAUUCAAAACCAAACGGACACUUUUUUUCUCCCUACAUCGUUACCAGAGAUGGUACGAUUAGGCUAACACUUUAUUUUCAAUAAACCCCAUUAAAAAUAAUUAACUAUUCGUUUUUUUCUUAAAAACGAACUAACUAAAAUAUACAUUGAUAUAUUUUUAUUUUACGAAAUAAUUUAUAUUUAUUAAGAACAACUCUUAGCAAUGGAUAUCUUGGUUCUC
This 288-nucleotide unclassified non-coding RNA is filed under the name fungal sp. RNAcentral's name for it is "partial internal transcribed spacer region". The stretch from base 1 to 46 matches the Rfam family "Eukaryotic small subunit ribosomal RNA", at positions 1786 to 1831 of the family's 1831-position model. The record is from RNAcentral. Lineage: Eukaryota; Fungi.